This 226-nucleotide long non-coding RNA is filed under the name Elaeis guineensis (African oil palm). Its description in RNAcentral is "long non-coding RNA (EGUI_LNC015666)". Lineage: Eukaryota; Viridiplantae; Streptophyta; Magnoliopsida; Arecales; Arecaceae. The record is from RNAcentral.
UCCCCCGAGUAACUAACCUUUGAUUAGUUAAAGGGUCACAUGCCCAUGACAUGAGAUUCUAUAUGUAUGUCCGCUGUGUGAAUGGGUUAAAUGCAGACACGAUGGUAGUGACUGAUGAGUUGCAGGAGCAAUAGACACUUGUGUAUCUCUUGAUUGCCACCAGAUAAAGAAGACCUCCAAGGGAUUGGACGUAGAGAUGGGCAACAGGCCGAACAAUAGGUCGGGC